RNAcentral lists this ribosomal RNA (303 nucleotides) under uncultured bacterium. RNAcentral's name for it is "bacterial SSU rRNA". It matches the Rfam family "Bacterial small subunit ribosomal RNA", at positions 355 to 656 of the family's 1533-position model. The record is from RNAcentral.
UGAGGAAUAUUGGUCAAUGGGCUAAGGCCUGAACCAGCCAAGUCGCGUGAGGGAAGACGGUCCUAUGGAUUGUAAACCUCUUUUGUCGGGGAGCAACGAGGCCACGUGUGGCCGAAGUGAGAGUACCCGAAGAAAAAGCAUCGGCUAACUCCGUGCCAGCAGCCGCGGUAAUACGGAGGAUGCGAGCGUUAUCCGGAUUUAUUGGGUUUAAAGGGUGCGUAGGCGGAACAUUAAGUCAGCGGUAAAAUCGAGGGGCUCAACCCCUUUAAGCCGUUGAAACUGGUGAUCUUGAGUGGGCGAGAA